This 69-nucleotide small RNA is filed under the name Bacillus sp. CECT 9360. RNAcentral's name for it is "Bacillaceae-1". It matches the Rfam family "Bacillaceae-1 RNA". Lineage: Bacteria; Bacillati; Bacillota; Bacilli; Caryophanales; Bacillaceae. The record is from RNAcentral.
AAGUAAGGAACAUCGACUAAGACCUGCCACAUCGAUAUGUCUUACGUCGAUGCCAGCCCAUCCAGGGCA